Molecule: long non-coding RNA, 463 nt
Filed under: Equus asinus (donkey)
Lineage: Eukaryota; Metazoa; Chordata; Mammalia; Perissodactyla; Equidae
Description: lncRNA (ENSEASG00005032092.1)
Source: RNAcentral
GCGGCACCGGGUGGACCCGCUUGUUCCCGCCUCCCUCUUCGCCCAGCCAGUUCCCGUUGGCUGUCUGUCUGGGACAGGCACAAUGAUGGCGCUCCUGGAGCUCGGGGGCGGGGAGCUUUUCAGAGUGUAGAAUUUUCCUGCGAGUUGGACUCUUCACCAACUGACUGUCCCGAGGGGGCUGAAGCUGCUGCCCGGGUCAGUGGCGAGGUUCGGCGCAAUCUCUGGCUUGUAACUAGAGUCCGACGCUGGAUGCGCGGGGUGACGGUGCUGUCUUCACGUUACAACAAUUUUAGGAAGAAUCACCCUGGAUUGAAAACUGAAAACUGGAUAAAGAGAACCCCCACAACAAGGGACAGUCCUGACGAAAGCAGAAGAGUCAGUAACUCCGGCCAGAGAGGAAAAAAGCCACCUUUGGGAGCAGUGGAGCUUCUCAGCUGGCCAGGCGGGAGCCAACCUAAGGUAC